UGGGGAAGUAUUGCACAAUGGGCGAAAGCCUGAUGCAGCAACGCCGCGUGAGGGAAGACGGUUUUCGGAUUGUAAACCUUUGUCCUCAGUGAAGAUAAUGACGGUAGCUGAGGAGGAAGCCACGACUAACUACGUGCCAGCAGCCGCGGUAAUACGUAGGUGGCAAGCGUUGUCCGGAAUUACUGGGUGUAAAGGGAGCGCAGGCGGGAGAGCAAGUCAGUGGUGAAAUGCAUGGGCUUAACCCAUGAACUGCCAUUGAAACUGUUUUUCUUGAGUGGAUCAGAGGCAAGCGGAAUUCCGAGUGUAGCGGUGAAAUGCGUAGAUAUUCGGAGGAACACCAGUGGCGAAGGCGGCUUGCUGGGGUCUAACUGACGCUGAGGCUCGAAAGUGUGGGGAGC
RNAcentral lists this ribosomal RNA (398 nucleotides) under uncultured bacterium. Its description in RNAcentral is "bacterial SSU rRNA". It matches the Rfam family "Bacterial small subunit ribosomal RNA", at positions 355 to 769 of the family's 1533-position model. The record is from RNAcentral.